GGGCAUGCACACUCACCAGUGCGCGGCACCGCAACCAGCAGCAGCUUUCCGCUGCACCCACGUAUCUGGAAGAGGAUCGCCACUUUCCCCAAGCCUUCUCCGCGUGCACAUACAGCCCACGCACCCGUCACAGGCCAUCAAAGUACCCACGACUCGGCCUGCCGAGCGCAGGGGUGUCUGCCCGCACGAAUGCGGUCCGUCAAGGGAUCGCCUCCGCUACGCCUACAUGGCACGGCUGGAGUCAGCGUUGCUCCACGGUGCCGCCGCGCGGUCGGCUGGUGCUGGCCGGGAACUGCACGAAGGCCCUUGUGCACCCUCACGCCAAAGCAGCCGCAGCCAUCGUGGGUGCCCCAAAAUAUGCAGAUAGCGGACACCCGCUGGGAGAGGCCAAGCCCCUGCCCCCGACCCCACAGCGCUGCUGCGCCGCGCACGCUUGCAUCCCUCCGCAGCCACGCCAGGAGGCCGCCUUGCGCACUUAGCGUGAGGAUGGGUGCACACACGCAUGGCGGUGCCGUCACAACGCUUUCGCAGCUCUCAAGCCGGUGUGCAGGCACCGAUACCCCUCGGAGCUCCGCACGCGCACACCUCCAUUAUGCGCAGCGGCCGCGCGCCCCUCUCAUAUCGGCUUGUCGAUGGCCGAUUGUGAAUCGGUGCACCAAAAGAAGCUUGGCAAGCAUGCAAAAUCGGCAAUGGCGGAGGAGUCGACGCCAACUGGACAGGCUACGGACCUGGCUACCGGUCUCAGACGCCAGGCCGACAUUCCCCUGCUACCCGCACGACAGGAGCACACCGCCUCUGCUUUCCCGCCAGACCCUGGACGCGGUCUGCUUGUAUCAAGGUAGGCAGUCCAGCCAAGCCCGUGUGACGCCGAUCGCGCAGCACGUAUCCGAGGAUGGACAACGAGAUCCCUUUAGGCGCAUAGCCCGAUUUGGCGGCAGGAAAGCCUAUCCUCAACGGCCAGGAUGUAGCCGCAGUGCAACAGAGGUGGGCCAGCUGUGGUUGCACGCGCCUCUGUGCUGAUGUGGUCGUGAGCGAAUGACACAUUGAGGAAGCAAAAUGUUUUCGACUGUCUGUCAAUGGUGCUCUCUCACAUUGUUGCCAUGUCCUGCCCUUUUCCUGCUCUCGCGCCCUCCCUCGCUCCACCUCUCCUCGCCGGUUUCCAUCGCUGUCUUUGUGCGGCUGCGCGUAACUGCUUGCGCGCGCGUUUGUGUGGAGGAUGACGGACGAGGGGGUGCUGACAUGAAGAAGCGCGGAGGGAGGGGAGGGGGGAUGCACUACGUCGUAGACGCGGGUCGUCUUCUCUCUCUCUCGUCGCGAAGCGAUGAAGCGAGGUUGGUGGGAUGGGUGAUCAGUUUCGUCGCGUGCUUCAUCCUUGGAAGAACCAGCGUUUUUUUUUCUCGUACACCUUCGUGGCGGCGUGAGGCGGCGGUGUCGACCACAGAGGCCGCAUCGCCCUCUCCACAUCGCUCUUUCUGCCGCUCUCUGUUCUUUGUCAUGUUUACGCUCUCGCUUUGGGCAUCGCAAUCCAUGUGCAUGUAUACAUGUAUAUAUACAUGUACAGGUGUGUGUUGGUGUGCGUGUGCCCAUCGCCGAUGAGUUUUGCGUUUGAGCUUUCUCGCCGCGUUUGCUUAACGAUGCUAUCUCCCUCCGUGGUUGCACUCUUCACCUCCCCGCCCUCACGGGAGUAUGUGCGACGGCGGUUGUGAUGGGUGCCGCUACAUGUGGACGCAACGAGGAGUUUCUCUUGCAUUUCUCUCAUCUGCUUGAAUCGGCUUCUGUAGAUUUUUUGGUAGGUUUCUCCCGCGCUCUUCGUUCAUGCUGUUUUUCGUGCUCAAGCAACAGCUUCCUUAGCAGGAGCAGCAGAGAAGCCGCGACACAUACCCGACCAGCUCUUCGUGUGACAGGAGAUAAGUCAAUUAUAUGUGUGGUGGCAACAGCCGACAUUCUGCUU
RNAcentral lists this unclassified non-coding RNA (1951 nucleotides) under Leishmania donovani. Its description in RNAcentral is "gene:unknown". Lineage: Eukaryota; Euglenozoa; Kinetoplastea; Trypanosomatida; Trypanosomatidae. The record is from RNAcentral.